GACGAACGCUGGCGGCGUGCUUAACACAUGCAAGUCGAACGGAAAGGCCCUGCUUUUGUGGGGUGCUCGAGUGGCGAACGGGUGAGUAACACGUGAGUAACCUGCCCUUGACUUUGGGAUAACUUCAGGAAACUGGGGCUAAUACCGGAUAGGAGCUCCUGCUGCAUGGUGGGGGUUGGAAAGUUUCGGCGGUUGGGGAUGGACUCGCGGCUUAUCAGCUUGUUGGUGGGGUAGUGGCUUACCAAGGCUUUGACGGGUAGCCGGCCUGGGAGGGUGACCGGCCACAUUGGGACUGAGAUACGGCCCAGACUCCUACGGGAGGCAGCAGUGGGGAAUAUUGCACAAUGGGCGGAAGCCUGAUGCAGCAACGCCGCGUGCGGGAUGACGGCCUUCGGGUUGUAAACCGCUUUCGCCUGUGACGAAGCGUGAGUGACGGGAAUGGGUAAAGAAGCACCGGCUAACUACGU
This 467-nucleotide ribosomal RNA is filed under the name uncultured bacterium. Its description in RNAcentral is "partial 16S ribosomal RNA". It matches the Rfam family "Bacterial small subunit ribosomal RNA", at positions 28 to 506 of the family's 1533-position model. The record is from RNAcentral.